CCUACGGGUGGCAGCAGUGGGGAAUAUUGCACAAUGGGGGGAACCCUGAUGCAGCGACGCCGCGUGAGUGAAGGAGUAUUUCGGUAUGUAAAGCUCUAUCAGCAGGGAAGAAAAUGACGGUACCUGACCAAGAAGCCCCGGCUAACUACGUGCCAGCAGCCGCGGUAAUACGUAGGGGGCAAGCGUUAUCCGGAUUUACUGGGUGUAAAGGGAGCGCAGGCGGCUGUGCAAGCCUGAAGUGAAAGGCGGGGGCCCAACCCCGGGACUGCACAGGCAACUGCAAUGCUGGAGUGCAGGAGAGGUAAGCGGAAGUCCUAGUGUAGCGGUGAAAUGCGUAGAUAUUAGGAGGAACACCAGUGGCGAAGGCGGCUUGCUGGACUGUAACUGACGCUGAGGCUCGAAAGCGUGGGGAGCAAACAGGAUUAGAUACCCUUGUAGUC
This 440-nucleotide ribosomal RNA is filed under the name uncultured bacterium. Its description in RNAcentral is "partial 16S ribosomal RNA". It matches the Rfam family "Bacterial small subunit ribosomal RNA", at positions 338 to 795 of the family's 1533-position model. The record is from RNAcentral.